UACGGAGGGUGCAAACGUUGCUCGGAAUCAUUGGGCGUAAAGCGCACGUAGGCGGCUUUGUGUGUCGGAUGUGAAAUCCCUCGGCUCAACCAAGGAAGUGCAUUCGAAACUGCAAAGCUUGAGUACUUAAGAGGAUCGCGGAAUUCCCGGUGUAGAGGUGAAAUUCGUAGAUAUCGGGAGGAACACCAGUGGCGAAGGCGGCGAUCUGGGAAGAUACUGACGCUGAGGUGCGAAAGCGUGGGGAGCAAACAGG
RNAcentral lists this ribosomal RNA (253 nucleotides) under uncultured bacterium. Its description in RNAcentral is "partial 16S ribosomal RNA". It matches the Rfam family "Bacterial small subunit ribosomal RNA", at positions 524 to 776 of the family's 1533-position model. The record is from RNAcentral.